Trichobilharzia regenti is the source of this 45-nucleotide non-coding RNA. The record is from Rfam. Lineage: Eukaryota; Metazoa; Platyhelminthes; Trematoda; Strigeidida; Schistosomatidae.
AUCCAGCUGACGAUUCCCAAAUAGGACGAAAUGCGCAUCCUGGAU